CAACCGUUUUCUCAGGACUUGAAGAACCAACGAGGGUUGUCACACUGCAAACGAAUCCUGCAAACAUUGAAGGCAGCCUACAGCACUUGGUCAACAUGAGAGAGAGUUAUAAGGUGCUUAUUGAGAACAAUCAGAACGUUAAGCGUUCAAUGGUCACCAACGUUAUGUUUAAAUGGUUCUCAUCUUCAAGUGUUACUGCUAAGCUUGAUCGCAAUAUUGCACGAUGCUUAGCAAAUCUUUCUGUUGUCGACACAACCAUCAGCUCGCUGAAACAGCUUCUUGCAGGCAACACACAGCUUUAUGCAACGCCACAUUUUCAGGAUAGCUUGGAGAGCAUUGUGGAAUUGCAAGCCGGAGAGAUGUUGAAUGAGGAAACUCUUGCUCGCGCACUUGGCAUCUUUGUUCCCAAAACAAAUUUAUUUCUACUGCUAGCCACCAAAGGUCUUAAACUCGUUUAUGUGGUUUGUGUUCUAAUCCUCAUAAAUCUAAGCUACCAGGUCUUCCAAAGAUGGCAAUCCCAGGUUAGGAGGAAGAAGAGUUCCCUCAAUUCCAGUGAUGAAUUAUCCAACACUAUGCCCGUCUCAGAGGGGGAAGGUAUUCUCAAAGAGGUUAUGCAGAUGAGCAAGGAGCAGCGGAAUCAGGUUAAAGUUGAUAUGGACGCUGAUGUUGCUGAACAUAGCGGUGGUUUCACUUUCGUUUUCCCAGAGCAAGCGGUUGAACUUGAAGGUAAAGGAAAUAAAUACCGCCCCAGGGAAGAUCAGCGCCUCAUGUAUUCUACGCGUGACGACGCCACUUUCGAUAGUUGGAAUGAGAAAGCUAAAGAGAGGCGCCACAAGAUCUCCAGUCGAGCGGAGCCGGAAAUGAGACCAACAUACCAGAAGCGGCCUUAUUUCAACUUUUAUGAACUUCAAACGGAUAGCAAUAUACUGGAGGCGAUCUUCUAUACUACCCAGGGUGAUGAAUUCUUCCGCACAGCAAACCCUAAUAAGGAUAUGCAUGGUGUUGCUGACAAACUCAAAACUUUCCUCGACACUCAGCCCAUCGUUGGGAAACACCAGCGUCAGUUGCUUGAGGAAACAGCUCAAGUUGUUAUUCGUGACAACAAAGGGGAAGCCCACCGGAUGGAAAUCUCGCAGCAUGAUCCUGACAAAUUGAAGAACAAUGGUGCUGGAAGAGUCGGGUAUGACGAACAUCGCAAUGACUUUCGACAAGAAGGCCAAGCUGUUACAUCCCCAGUUGAGCUGGAAGCUGAGUUUGGAGCUCAACCAGGGGGCAUCGUUCUUGAAGCGGCAACUGGAAUCACUAUCUCUCAGGUUGGAGUGGAUGUUGCAAAUCGAGUCGGGCGUAUUGCAAUAGGCACAUAUAAUCUCAACUGCUUUCUAUACAGCGACUGGAUCAUAGCACCCGCUCAUCUCCAAGAUCGAGUUGGUGAUGUUGUAAUUCAGUUUCCUGGGCAAACUGUUUGCACUAACACGGAUAAUUUGAACGCAAAUGGAGUUCAGCGCUUCCCAGGUUUGGAUCUAAUUGCCAUUCGGCGGCCAGCUGAUCUGAAGCCCCAGAAAAAGCUAGUAAAGGCGCACGCAUUAACAGAGCCCACCCUAGCGCAGAUGGUCUUCAUUGACCCACUAGGCAUUCGCAGAUUUUCUCAAUCGGAUUGGGCUCGUAAGGAAGAAGGAUCCGGACGUUGGUCGCAUAAGAUAUCCACACAACGAGGCAUGUGCGGGUGUCCAGUUUUAGAUGUCGGCAAGAAUCGUCUCAUUGGAAUUCAUGUUGCAACUAAUUACACCACCAAUCGCAAUGAAUUUCAGCCAUUCACGCAGGAGGUUGUGAAUUUCAUCAAUAGUUCCGGACGUCGGCUUCCUCUCACUUCGUGGAAAUUUGUUGGCUCUGCCUGCGGUUAUCUCGGCAGUAACUUUGUGAAGGUUAGCGACGAUAUUCAAACACAAGGGGCUGAUGAAUUAGCCAUCAUCAACAACUCCAUCGUUGGAUUCGGUAGCGCCUUGAAAGGGCAACUUGUUCAGCCAGCUACGAGCGCAAUUGCAAGCCGUUUCAAAGAACUCUUUGGAAAUGGCUCCUUUGAGUUGGUUGGAUGCAUGAACAAGGGUUUGAUUGACAAGCAUGUCAUCACUGGUGAAAACGAUAAUGUUCACAGCUUCAUGCGCGAACAUCCAACAUUCUCAUGGUUGCAGAGCUUCAUGGAUGAGUAUGCCCCUAGUGUUUUAUCAUACUCAGCAUAUUACAAAGACCUUUGCAAGUAUAAUCGCAAGAAGCAUGUGUUAACAUUCAACCCUGACGAACUGCAACACGCUACAAAAGGUCUUUGUAAUAUGCUCGAGGAUGCUGGCCUCACACCUUGCGACAUGCGCACACCUCAACAAGUUAUUUCGGAUGUUCAAUGGAGCACCUCCGCUGGUCCAAGUUAUCAGGGUAAGAAGCGCGACGUGUGUGCGCACCUCAGUGAGGAUGAGGUACUCAACCUUGCAGAAGUUUCUCGGCAGCAGUUCCUGGCAGGAAACUCUAUUGGUGUCUGGAAUGGAUCGUUGAAGGCGGAACUCCGCACAAUUGAAAAAGUUGAAGCUGAGAAAACUCGUGUUUUCACAGCAUCCCCAAUCACAAGCCUGCUCGCCAUGAAAUUCUAUGUUGAUGAUUUCAAUAAGAAAUUCUACGCCACGAAUUUGAAAGCUCCUCACACCGUGGGCAUUAAUAAGUUCAGCCGUGGCUGGGAAAUGUUGCAUGACAAGUUGAAUCGUCCUGGGUGGUUGCACGGCAGUGGUGAUGGCUCUCGUUUUGAUAGCUCAAUUGACCCCUUCUUCUUCGACAUCAUUAAGGGCAUUCGCAAGCACUUUCUACCUAUUGAACAUCAUGGAGCCAUUGAUCUGAUCUAUAAUGAGAUUUUGAACACCACAAUUUGCCUAGCAAAUGGCAUGGUGAUUAGAAAGAAUGUUGGUAACAACAGCGGGCAGCCGAGUACUGUUGUUGACAACACACUUGUUCUCAUGGUUUCCUUUCUAUAUGCAUACAUCCACAAAACAGGGGACACUGAACUACUUAAGCUUGACGAACGUUUCGUCUUUGUCUGCAAUGGUGACGACAACAAAUUCGCGAUUUCUCCAGAGUUUAAUGCACAAUUUGGGCAUGACUUUUCCCCAGAACUCAUCGAGCUUGGUUUGACGUAUGAAUUCGAUGACAUCACAGAUGAUAUUUGCGAAAAUCCCUACAUGUCUCUAACUAUGGUGCGAACACCCUUUGGAAUUGGAUUUUCCCUACCGGUUGAAAGAAUUGUUGCCAUAAUGCAGUGGGCAAGAAGAGGUGGUGUUCUCCAUUCGUAUUUAGCUGGGAUCUCAGCUAUAUAUGAGUCUUUUAACACACCAAAGCUUUUCAAAUCGAUCUAUGCGUAUCUGUUGUGGUUGACUGAAGAGUACGAAGCCGAUAUACUUGCUGCCAUGAAGGACACCGCCACUGCUCUACCAAUCCCUUCCAUGCUUGACGUUUACCGUUUGCAUUACGGUGGUUGUGACAUUGAACUGCAAGCUGCGGACACACAAACUGACGCUCAGAAGGAGGCAGCUCGAGUUGCUGCUGCUGAUAAAGCUCGAGCGGACGCUGCGGACGCAGCUAGGAAGCAGAAGGUCGAAGCUGACAGGGUUGAGGCAGCUCGUGUCAAGAAAGCCGCCGCUGACACCGCAAAUCUCACAGCAACCAAAGUCACAGCAACUGAAGAUGGGAAAGUUACAACUGAUUCCGGAACGAAGAGAACCAGUGCAGCAGCUGAAGUCACGUGGACUUUACCUACUAUGAAACAAGCCAAUGCCGGGCUAAAGUUGCGCAUCCCCAUUGCAAAGCUAAAGAGUGUACCAAAAUCCGUGAUGCAGCAUGACAACUCAAUAGCUUUGGACUCUGAGCUAACAGCAUGGGCAGACGCUGUUAGAACAAGCUUAGGAAUUACAACAGAUGAAGCUUGGCAAAACACACUAAUCCCUUUCCUAGGUUGGUGCUGCAACAACGGAGCUUCAGAUAAACACUCAGAGAAUCAGAAGAUGCAAGUGGAUGCCGGAAAAGCAACCCUUAGCGAAGUCAGCUUGUCACCGUUCAUAGUUCAUGCUCGGUUGCAUGGUGGCCUUCGGCGCAUCAUGCGCGCCUAUAGUGAUGAAACCGUUUUACUCAUCAGCGAAGGUAAACUCGUUCCCAGGUGGGCUAUGAGACACGGAGCCUCCGCUAACGCAGCUUAUGCGUUUGAUUUCUUUGUUCCACGUCCCUGGAUGAAUCCACAGGAUAUAGAAAUCUCAAAACAAGCACGUCUUGCCGCACUUGGAACUGGAACGAACAACACCAUGUUGACAUCGGACACAACAAAUCUUCGCAAGACAACCAAUCACAGGGUUCUGGACACUGAUGGACAUCCAGAGCUAACCUAAACCAUCCCCCCCCACGCCUUAUCCAUUUAUAUACUAUGCCGUACAUCGCGUUUCACGUGUGGUCGUAUAUCUGUAUCAGGCUCGGGACGGUUUUAUGUUCAAUAUGCUUUUCAGCAGUUGUCAAACCAGUAUUUUCUUCGGAAGAGUAUGGCGAGACUUGAGCAGCCGUUUUUAAUCAUCUGUCGUUAGAUGGUGGUGCACUCGGUGCACUUACGAGUACCAGAAGGUAAC
Molecule: ribosomal RNA, 4646 nt
Filed under: Wheat spindle streak mosaic virus
Lineage: Riboviria; Orthornavirae; Pisuviricota; Stelpaviricetes; Patatavirales; Potyviridae
Description: partial RNA1
Source: RNAcentral